This 1434-nucleotide ribosomal RNA is filed under the name uncultured organism. RNAcentral describes it as "16S ribosomal RNA". It matches the Rfam family "Bacterial small subunit ribosomal RNA". The record is from RNAcentral.
CAGGCUUAACACAUGCAAGUCGAGGGGCAGCAUGGUCUUAGCUUGCUAAGGCCGAUGGCGACCGGCGCACGGGUGAGUAACACGUAUCCAACCUGCCGUCUACUCUUGGACAGCCUUCUGAAAGGAAGAUUAAUACAAGAUGGCAUCAUGAGUCCGCAUGUUCACAUGAUUAAAGGUAUUCCGGUAGACGAUGGGGAUGCGUUCCAUUAGAUAGUAGGCGGGGUAACGGCCCACCUAGUCUUCGAUGGAUAGGGGUUCUGAGAGGAAGGUCCCCCACAUUGGAACUGAGACACGGUCCAAACUCCUACGGGAGGCAGCAGUGAGGAAUAUUGGUCAAUGGGCGCAGGCCUGAACCAGCCAAGUAGCGUGAAGGAUGACUGCCCUAUGGGUUGUAAACUUCUUUUAUAAAGGAAUAAAGUCGGGUAUGGAUACCCGUUUGCAUGUACUUUAUGAAUAAGGAUCGGCUAACUCCGUGCCAGCAGCCGCGGUAAUACGGAGGAUCCGAGCGUUAUCCGGAUUUAUUGGGUUUAAAGGGAGCGUAGAUGGAUGUUUAAGUCAGUUGUGAAAGUUUGCGGCUCAACCGUAAAAUUGCAGUUGAUACUGGAUAUCUUGAGUGCAGUUGAGGCAGGCGGAAUUCGUGGUGUAGCGGUGAAAUGCUUAGAUAUCACGAAGAACUCCGAUUGCGAAGGCAGCCUGCUAAGCUGCAACUGACAUUGAGGCUCGAAAGUGUGGGUAUCAAACAGGAUUAGAUACCCUGGUAGUCCACACGGUAAACGAUGAAUACUCGCUGUUUGCGAUAUACUGCAAGCGGCCAAGCGAAAGCGUUAAGUAUUCCACCUGGGGAGUACGCCGGCAACGGUGAAACUCAAAGGAAUUGACGGGGGCCCGCACAAGCGGAGGAACAUGUGGUUUAAUUCGAUGAUACGCGAGGAACCUUACCCGGGCUUAAAUUGCAGAUGAAUUACGGUGAAAGCCGUAAGCCGCAAGGCAUCUGUGAAGGUGCUGCAUGGUUGUCGUCAGCUCGUGCCGUGAGGUGUCGGCUUAAGUGCCAUAACGAGCGCAACCCUUGUUGUCAGUUACUAACAGGUUCCGCUGAGGACUCUGACAAGACUGCCAUCGUAAGAUGUGAGGAAGGUGGGGAUGACGUCAAAUCAGCACGGCCCUUACGUCCGGGGCUACACACGUGUUACAAUGGGGGGUGCAGAGGGCCGCUACCACGCGAGUGGAUGCCAAUCCCAAAAACCUCUCUCAGUUCGGACUGGAGUCUGCAACCCGACUCCACGAAGCUGGAUUCGCUAGUAAUCGCGCAUCAGCCACGGCGCGGUGAAUACGUUCCCGGGCCUUGUACACACCGCCCGUCAAGCCAUGGGAGCCGGGGGUACCUGAAGUGCGUAACCGCGAGGAGCGCCCUAGGGUAAAACUGGUGACUGGGGC